Molecule: ribosomal RNA, 384 nt
Filed under: uncultured prokaryote
Description: bacterial SSU rRNA
Rfam family: Archaeal small subunit ribosomal RNA
Source: RNAcentral
GCGAAAACUUUACAAUGCUGGCAACAGCGAUAAGGGAACCUCGAGUGCCAGGUUACAAAUCUGGCUGUCGAGAUGCCUAAAAAGCAUUUCAUAGCAAGGGCCGGGCAAGACCGGUGCCAGCCGCCGAGGUAACGCCGGCGGCUCGAGUGGUAACCGUUAUUAUUGGGUCUAAAGGGUCUGUAGCCGGCCGGAUAAGUCUCUUGAGAAAUCUGGCAGCUUAACUGUCAGGCUUUCAGGAGAUACUGUCUGGCUCGAGGCCGGGAGAGGUGAGAGGUACUUCAGGGGUAGGGGUGAAAUCUUGUAAUCCUUGAAGGACCACCAGUGGCGAAGGCGUCUCACCAGAACGGACCUGACGGCAAGGGACGAAAGCUAGGGGCACGAACC